UGGCUAUUUUUUAAAUUAAGGUUAUUGAAAAAACAUUGUUCAAUCGUUUAAUGUAGAUAUUUAAGUUUUUUUCGUAAGUUAUUGCAUUAAAGGCAAGGCACUUUCAAAGUUUUGGGAGCGGACGAUCGAUCUAACUUUGUAUUAUGCGCGGAUUGAGGUCUCCUCUAUAGGGGUGCUGGGCCACAACCUCUAUGGUGCAUAAAGGCCGCACAAGGAAGGUGGUGCAUUAGGGAAUAUGUACAAGUUAAGCUAGUUGCGUUAGGGAACCACCUUUUUUCUAACAAUUUGUCGAGUUGUUGUGCUUAAGCAAUCGACUCGUUGGAUAAAAUCAAAUUGUCAGUUACGAAAAAGAUUGAUUGAAAACAGCGCCCAAAAACAGUUGACAAUCACUGUUUUGACGUCAUACAUGAAGGUUAGUCUAAGCAGUCUUCUCUCACUUUCAUUUACGACCAAAACAGCACACGUGCAGCUGCUCACUGCUCAGUGUUGGUUCAAUUUGGUCCAGUGUACAGUACAUAAACAUAUCGUUUCGUUCAUCGCCACUUGAAUUAUAGUGUCAACCAAGUUUACCUCGCUAUGAAGGAUAAAAAGAUUAGCAAGCUUGUUGCUGAUUCAGCAGCGUUCAUCAGAAAUGCGCAAAUGCAGGAUGUUGCUGAUGUCGUUUACACGGUUAGGGAUGUCGUUGACGAAAUUAGAGAUCAAGCUACAAAGCAGAGACUCAGAGUUUUACCUUAUGAAAUAAAAAUGAUGGAACCAUCACCGGUGGUGAUGGACAAUGAAUGAAUGUGAACAAUCGUAAUAUUAUCAAUAUUAGACAGACGGUGUUCGGUUAAUGUAUUCUGAUGAGUAUGGCGCAAAAGCUUGACUGGGUGAAUUCACUAUGCAUUGGCACGUAAAAGUAAUUGUUAAACAAUAAUAGUUGCUAAGAUGUGCGAGUCCCGAUAGAUGUUCAACCACUCUAGCGGGAGAAACCGUAAGUCACACCAGGUAACCGAGAUUAGACGUCCGUGAAAGUGCACCUGGUGGUGAAUGUUGUAAACUCGAUCCAAUCGUUAUCGACGUCGCCACCCACCAAAUCCACCUAUAAGGGAGACACUGGAGACGAAGAUGCGGAACAUUAUUGGAAUUUGAUGACGUCAAUUCCUCUAUUAGGUAGAAGUGGGUGUCUCUCGCCGCUUCUACCUGAAGAGUCCCAAAGUGGACGAAGAAAGUGGUCGAAAUUGGUCACUGCAGAGAGACGGGAAUUCAAGGUCUAUCAAAAAUAUGACGAGUUCUGCAUGUCCUUUAUGUUCGACGAUCAGUUUCUUCUCACAAGGCCAGAUUUUUCACCCUCGUCUGUUUUGGCCUUUUGGUAAGCCUGCACAUAAGUUAGCUCAUCUGUGUUAUUCCAAAGAGCGUGAAGAAUUUGAGAACGGGUGAUGAGUAAAUAGCUACAUAGAUCCCGUGUACCUGUUUUGAGAAUCUUGUGUGGUUUAUGAGAUAUUUGGUAGCUGACACCAUAGGUCGAAGAUGCUUGGGAAAGAUUCUUUUGGUCGUAUGUGAGUAAGAUUUUCCACCCUUUUUUCAAUACUUUUUUCAAACUUCUUCCUUGUUGAAACGCGCAGUAAAAUGGGGAGGAGAAAUAUGUCACAACAUGUUAAUUGCCUAAUUGCAUCUUCUCUUGGUUUUUCGGCUUUCCCUUUUCGUCUCGGACCUCAAUACAGCCGUCAGUGUUCUUUCCAGUUCUGAUGGAACUCAGUCAAUACGGAUGAAUUUCCACGUUCUCUUAGGUGUAGGAUUUUGUUUCGACGUAGUGAACGCAAAGACAACACUGCACGUGACGCUAUGUAACUUUUUUAUAUUGAGGCUAAAUUACGAAUUGUGGAAUUACUGAUUAAUAAAGACUUAAACUGUCGUAUAAACAGAAAAGACACGUGUAUUCAGCAAGACACGUGAAAGACGGUCGGAAAAGGAAGAGAACGAAAGUCACGUCCAUUAAUCUUACCUUUCCUUCUCGUCACCUUUGACCAAAAAAUUUAGAAAAUAUUUAGUUGCCUUCCGCGUUUAUCUCAGUUGAUAUAUGUGUCUGCAAGCUGAUCUGUUGGUGAUAAAUGUGCACCCAGACCUACACGGAAUCUCAUCGUGAAAGGACACUCUCCUCAGAGAAAACUCAGUAAUUUUUCAUUGUGGUUUACUCGUCAAUCAGUAAUGCAGAAUUUUAUUAACGGAGGCCCAUCGAGAAGAUGGCGAGUUCUCCAUAUCCUAUUUUUUUGAUGAUCUGUUUCUUCUCACAAGAUAAGUAUUUUAAUUCUACCGUUACUUGAUUAGUGGCUUAUAUUCGAUGUGCGAAUCAGCUAGUUGAAUAUUUCUUUUAAAUCUUUUUGAGACUGAAAUUGCAUCGUCUGUUGAAUAACCUUGUUGACCAGUUAAAAUGGCUUAGCUUGUCUGACGAAAUACGUCAUCACCGUAAAUUCGCUUGGUUUUCGCUGAUUCGCAUCCUCUUCGCUUUUGUUUUCAUAGUUGCAUCUGCGUUGAUACCUUUGGUGGUAGGCCUAUUGUUAUAGUCUUUCAUCCCAACUGCGUCUGUUUGGCGUUUAGUUCUUUACGAACCUUUGCGACUUCUGAAUUGACACCGUUGUUGUAUUUCUUCUCAGAUUCAAGACUAUCAUCGUGGGCCUUUUCAAGUUUAGCGUUCGCAAAAUGACACAAUCAAAAUCUGACGUAGUGUUUAUUUAGUUCCUCAGACAUCUAAGAGCGUGUUUAAGAUCUAGCAUCGUAAAUUGAUUUCUAAACUGCAUGUUCUAGUUUUUUUCGGUUGUCCCUUUUCUUCUCGGACCUCAAUACCAUCGUCAGUGUUCUUUACAGUUCCGGUUGAACUCACUCAAUCAGGUUGAAUUUUCUCUUAGGUGUAGAGUUUUGUUUCAUUAUAGUGUUGCAAGAACAAACGCUACACGUGACGCUACCUAACUUUUUUAUAUUGAGGCCAAAUUACAAAUUGUAGAAUUACUGAAUAAGAAAGACUCAAACUGUCGAAUAAACAACAAGAAAACCAGGAAACGCAGUGUUGGCAUCAGUUAAGAACCUGAGUAGCACUUGAUUGCUUGUCGAGGUAAUUUCAAAUGGUGUAAUAGAUCCUGAUUUUUCCAACAGCAGCUUCGAGUACACAGUCGGUCCAUCGUAUACCUAAAUAUAAAAGAAACGCUGAAUGUGUUGAUGUCCUAAACGAUUGUCUAAAUCUAACUGACGUAGAGAAAAUCUGCUUGGUCCUGUGUUUCAAAGAAAGCAAAAAGCAAUCGGAUUUUUAAACCAGAUUUCACAUCGAUGUUCCAGCGGCAAUCACUCAGAUGCGAAUAAACUAAUGGAUAGUUGGGACUUUUGAUUAUUCCAUUAGAUCCAUCAAAGGUAUGGUUGCAUUGCGGUGUAGAAAUCUGUAUGAGUCAAGACGUUUCCAGCUUAAUUUUUAUACCAUUUAAUACAGGAUCAAUAAAAGUCAUACUCUGGAGACUGUCCAGGAGAAUGCAGGUUGUUCUCUAAUUUCAGGUGACGUCAAAUGAACCAUCAUUUUGUUGCUGAUCGAAUAGGCGACUGCCCUCCGUUGAUCUUUGGCUUCCCCAUCGUAAAGCACAAGACCUUCAGUACUCCAUCCGUCAUGAAUCUGUUGAUUAAAAAUGGUGAUAAUAAAGAACGUUUAAAAUUUAAAAGGAUAAAAAAAGAACGCGUGAAUAAAAAGG
This 3710-nucleotide long non-coding RNA is filed under the name Daphnia magna. RNAcentral describes it as "uncharacterized LOC123471425, transcript variant X2". Lineage: Eukaryota; Metazoa; Arthropoda; Branchiopoda; Diplostraca; Daphniidae. The record is from RNAcentral.